GAUGAACGCUGGCGGCGUGCCUAAUACAUGCAAGUCGAGCGAACAGACGAGGAGCUUGCUCCUCUGACGUUAGCGGCGGACGGGUGAGUAACACGUGGAUAACCUACCUAUAAGACUGGGAUAACUUCGGGAAACCGGAGCUAAUACCGGAUAAUAUAUCGAACCGCAUGGUUCAAUAGUGAAAGACGGUUUUGCUGUCACUUAUAGAUGGAUCCGCGCCGCAUUAGCUAGUUGGUAAGGUAACGGCUUACCAAGGCGACGAUGCGUAGCCGACCUGAGAGGGUGAUCGGCCACACUGGAACUGAGACACGGUCCAGACUCCUACGGGAGGCAGCAGUAGGGAAUCUUCCGCAAUGGGCGAAAGCCUGACGGAGCAACGCCGCGUGAGUGAUGAAGGUCUUCGGAUCGUAAAACUCUGUUAUUAGGGAAGAACAAAUGUGUAAGUAACUAUGCACGUCUUGACGGUACCUAAUCAGAAAGCCACGGCUAACUACGUG
This 497-nucleotide ribosomal RNA is filed under the name uncultured bacterium. Its description in RNAcentral is "partial 16S ribosomal RNA". It matches the Rfam family "Bacterial small subunit ribosomal RNA", at positions 28 to 507 of the family's 1533-position model. The record is from RNAcentral.